RNAcentral lists this long non-coding RNA (607 nucleotides) under Homo sapiens (human). RNAcentral describes it as "non-protein coding lnc-LRRK1-3:9". Lineage: Eukaryota; Metazoa; Chordata; Mammalia; Primates; Hominidae. The record is from RNAcentral.
GUUUCCUAGGGUGUGUUUCGGAGUCUGGAGGACCCCUGAUUCCAGACGUUGGUGUUUAAAAGUUAAGGCGAAUGUGGAAACACCCGAGGGGAACUUUCUCAUGCAUUAGCGCACCUCGAGGUGGGAGGGGAAGCGGUGACUGUCCUCCCUCCACCAGCCGUCGCGGGAACCCGUGGGGUUCAGUGAAGGGUCCAGCAGUUCAGGUGCCCGCCCCGGGCCUGGGCCUUGGCUCCGGGCUACAGUGUGAGAUCCCGGGCUAGGUGGCCCGCCUGGGGCAGGUCGCCGGGACAACCCCACCGCCCCGCAAGUCCAGCCCGGCCUCGGGCACGGUAGGGUUUGCGGUUAAGCUUGUGACCUUUAGACUUCUGAAUAUUCAUAUGUAUGAAAUGUGAUAUACAUAAAAGUGUGCAUAUCAGGAAUUUACAGUGAUUAAUGACCAGAGUGAACACAGCUGCGUAGCCGACACCGGGAUCCAAAACACCGCUAUUCUGAAAGCCUCCCUCUUUCCCAAAAGGCAACCGCGAACUCAACACUACAAAUUCGUUCUGCAAUCCACCCGGAGAUGAUUCUCCUUGAACUUUUAUUGAAGUAUGAUAUACAUAUAGAA